UACGUAGGGGGCAAGCGUUGUCCGGAUUUAUUGGGCGUAAAGAGCGUGUAGGCGGCUUUACAGGUCCGUUGUGAAAACUCGAGGCUCAACCUCGAGACGCCGGUGGAAACCGUAAAGCUAGAGUCCGGAAGAGGAGAGUGGAAUUCCUGGUGUAGCGGUGAAAUGCGCAGAUAUCAGGAGGAACACCGGUGGCGAAGGCGGAUCUCUGGGCCUUACCUGACGCUCAGGCGCGAAAGCUAGGGGAGCGAACUGG
This 253-nucleotide ribosomal RNA is filed under the name uncultured bacterium. RNAcentral's name for it is "partial 16S ribosomal RNA". It matches the Rfam family "Bacterial small subunit ribosomal RNA", at positions 524 to 776 of the family's 1533-position model. The record is from RNAcentral.